AGUGAACGCUGGCGGUAGGCCUAACACAUGCAAGUCGAACGGCAGCACAGUAAGAGCUUGCUCUUACGGGUGGCGAGUGGCGGACGGGUGAGGAAUACAUCGGAAUCUACUUUUUCGUGGGGGAUAACGUAGGGAAACUUACGCUAAUACCGCAUACGACCUACGGGUGAAAGCAGGGGAUCUUCGGACCUUGCGCGAUUGAAUGAGCCGAUGUCGGAUUAGCUAGUUGGCGGGGUAAAGGCCCACCAAGGCGACGAUCCGUAGCUGGUCUGAGAGGAUGAUCAGCCACCCUGGAACUGGGCCACGGUCCAGACUCCUACGGGAGGCAGCAGUGGGGAAUAUUGGACAAUGGGCGCAAGCCUGAUCCAGCCAUACCGCGUGGGUGAAGAAGGCCUUCGGGUUGUAAAGCCCUUUUGUUGGGAAAGAAAAGCAGCAGGUUAAUACCCCGCUGUUCUGACGGUACCCAAAGAAUAAGCACCGGCUAACUUCGUG
RNAcentral lists this ribosomal RNA (492 nucleotides) under uncultured bacterium. RNAcentral describes it as "partial 16S ribosomal RNA". It matches the Rfam family "Bacterial small subunit ribosomal RNA", at positions 29 to 507 of the family's 1533-position model. The record is from RNAcentral.